This 411-nucleotide unclassified non-coding RNA is filed under the name Hevea brasiliensis (rubber tree). The record is from RNAcentral. Lineage: Eukaryota; Viridiplantae; Streptophyta; Magnoliopsida; Malpighiales; Euphorbiaceae.
AAAAAAAAAGAAAAAAGAAAAAACGAGUUUUCCUUUCCAAGUAAUAUUGCAGUGCACUCGAUGAAGAAUUUCUCGCAGUAAGCUAGAGCCUACUUCUGCUCAAGUGAAUGUAUACACCUGUGCUUGGAUCGGUAUCUCAGUAAUGGCUAAUUUUUCUGAAAAGUUUGUUGGUUGGUUGAUUCAUAUUCAAAUUUUAUCUUGUUUGAUAUUGACAGCUCAUGGCGCAUUCUCUCUAAAGUUGCAUUUGAAUCAGACAAUUUUAUCAGAAACACAAGAAGCUAUUUCAAAAAUUAAAGUUAUAGCAACAAAGCAUUGAAACGAGAUAUAUCUGGCAAGACUGAUGUUAAAUUGCCCAUUUUGUUGCAGUUAAAUGUUCAAAAACUUGAUCGUUCUUGACACACCAAAGCAUUU